CCCUUAGAUGUUCUGGGCUGCACGCGCGCUACACUGAAGCGUUCAACGAGUAUUCACCUUGCCCGGGAGGGUUGGGUAAUCUUUUGAAAACGCUUCGUGAUGGGGAUAGAUUAUUGCAAUUAUUAAUCUUCAACGAGGAAUUCCUAGUAAACGCAAGUCAUCAGCUUGCAUUGAUUACGUCCCUGCCCUUUGUACACACCGCCCGUCGCACCUACCGAUUGAAUGGUCCGGUGAAAUCUCGGGACGGCGGCUUGGUCGCUUGCGUCCGACUGCUGAAACUUGAUUAAACCAUNUNAUUUAGNGGAAGGUGAANUCGUANCA
This 321-nucleotide ribosomal RNA is filed under the name uncultured eukaryote. Its description in RNAcentral is "partial 18S ribosomal RNA". It matches the Rfam family "Eukaryotic small subunit ribosomal RNA", at positions 1470 to 1796 of the family's 1831-position model. The record is from RNAcentral.